CACAUCACCAGCAUCGUGUAGGCAGGUACAAGAAAAAAACCUGUUGAGCUGUGCCUUUUCCUGCCACUGUCACACCCUCUGGCCUGAUGUGGACUGUGCCUGCUGCGAGCCAGGCAGCAACUGAAAAGCAUCAGGGAAUCACAUUAUGUUAGAUCCUUCCAGCUUCAAGUAAUUAACUCAGUCCAUUUUAUGGAACUGGGAUGAUUUUGAAGAAACUCCAAUGGAAUAUAUAGACAAUUCCUUGGCAAUCAGGGUCUUGAAAACUUCUUUCACUGUGAUGCAAACUAGCAGCACUUUCCUUGCAUGUGGGACAAGUUAAGAACACCCAUAUGAACAGGUAGGAUGGCUCAUCUGGAACUUGUUAUGCUAACAUAAAUCAGCCGUGUUUGAUACAGGCCUU
Molecule: long non-coding RNA, 400 nt
Filed under: Manacus vitellinus (golden-collared manakin)
Lineage: Eukaryota; Metazoa; Chordata; Aves; Passeriformes; Pipridae
Description: lncRNA (ENSMVIG00005014166.1)
Source: RNAcentral